RNAcentral lists this long non-coding RNA (1657 nucleotides) under Lonchura striata (white-rumped munia). RNAcentral describes it as "domestica (Bengalese finch) lncRNA (ENSLSDG00000001692.1)". The record is from RNAcentral. Lineage: Eukaryota; Metazoa; Chordata; Aves; Passeriformes; Estrildidae.
CGGCGCGUGGGCUCGCAGCUAAUUAAUUAGGCAAAGCUGCUAAUUAGCUCCUUGGCUGGGCAAGGAUGGGAGAUACUCCACAGAUCUCCAAAAUCUGCUCUCGUCCCCAUCUCGGAUUUUUGGGGUUUGACAAGGAGCUGGUGGGGUCCAACGGGGAAUUUUGGGGUUCAGGGAGGAUUUUGGGGGUUCAAUGAGGAUUUUGGGGGUUCAAUGAGAAUUUUGGGGGUUCAGUGAGGAAUUUUGGGGGUUCAAUGAGGAUUUUGGGGGUUCAGGAAGGAAUUUUGGGGUUCAGGAAGGAAUUUGGGGGUUCAGUGAGGAUUUUGGGGGUUCAGAGGGGAUUGAGAAGGAAUUUUGGGGUUCAAGAAGGAAUUUUGGGGUUCAGUGAGGAAUUUUGGGGGUUCAAUGAGAAUUUUGGGAGUUUAAUGAGAAUUUUGUAGUUCAGGAAGGAAUUUUGGGGUUCAAGAAGGAAUUUAGAGGGUUCAAUGAGAAUUUUGGGGUUCAAUGAGAAUUUUGGGGUUCAAGGAGGAUUUUUGGAGCUCAAGAGGAACUUGGUGGGAUUCAGUUUGGGGUUCAGUGAGGAUUUGGGGUUCAAGAAGGAAUUUUGGGGUUCAAGAAGGAAUUUGGGGGUUCAAGAAGGAAUUUUGGGGGUUCAAUGAGGAUUUUGGGGUUCAAUGAGGAUUUUUGGAGAUCAACAGGAACUUUAUGGGAUUCAGUUUGGGGUUCGAUGAGGAUUUUGAGGGUUCAAUGAGGAUUUGGGGGUUCAGUGAGGAUUUUGGGGGUUCAGUGAGGAUUUUGGGGGUUCAAUGAGGAUUUUGGGGGUUCAAUGAGGAUUUUGGGGGUUCAAUGAGGAUUUUGGGGGUUCAAUGAGGAUUUUGAGGGUUCAAUGAGGAUUUUGGAGGUUCAGUGAGGAUUUUGGGGGUUCAAUGAUCAUUUUGGGGUUUCACUGAUUAUUUGGUGGCUCAAGAAGCAAUUUUGGACUUCCUCGAGAACUUCUGGCGUUCCACAACGACCUGAAGCCGUCCCACCAAGGGCAGAGACGAGUGAAAAACCCUUCGGGGAUAAAACCUCGUCCACUGUCCCCAUCCCAGGCGAUUCCGGAGGGAAAUUCCGGCUACCUGUAGUGCAGGAGUUGUCCUUCCGUGCCGUAAUCCCGGAAAACGUCGAAUUCCUUCUCCAACGCUCCGGAAGGCGGCGAGCUGAAAAACAGGAACGGCGGGUCAGGAGUUACCGGCGGAGACGUCGAGGUCUCCUCUAGGAUCCAUGGAGAUGGAUUCCCACCAGGAUGGGAUUUUUUAAAAAUUUUUUAAAAUUUAUUUAUUUAUUAUUUUUUGAAUUUUUGGAGUUGUCGGCCCGAUGACGACCAAGCCGCCCACGGCCAACCCUUCGAAGAACCAAAUUGUCCCUUAAAAAAAAAAUCCGAGAAGAUGCCAAAAAUCUCCCGGCUCCAUCCCGGCCUUUCGACAACCUCGGAUAUCCAGAGUUGACGUGGGAAGAGGAAAAUCCCAAAAAAAACCCAAUUUUGGUCACAUUUUUAUCAAAAUCUGAACCUGGAGAGCUUUUGUUCCCAGGAGAUGGAGAAGGUCACACCACCAACCCACUCCAAGAGAUGCCACGCUUGGAAAAACAUGAGGAGAAAAAUAAAAAUAAUCAAAAAUCC